GGGCUUAGUGGUAGAGCUCUCACCUAGCAUGUGCGAGGCCCUGGGUUCAAUUCUCAGUGCCA
This 62-nucleotide transfer RNA is filed under the name Marmota monax (woodchuck). Its description in RNAcentral is "tRNA.Ala". Lineage: Eukaryota; Metazoa; Chordata; Mammalia; Rodentia; Sciuridae. The record is from RNAcentral.